CCUACGGGAGGCAGCAGUGGGGGAUAUUGCACAAUGGGGGGAACCCUGAUGCAGCGACGCCGCGUGGGUGAAGGAGUGCUUCGGCAUGUAAAGCCCUAUCGGCAGGGAAGAAGCAAGACGGUACCUGACUAAGACGCCCCGGCUACAUACGUGCCAGCAGCCACGGUAAUCCGUAGGGGGCGAGCGUUAUCCGGAUCCACUGGGUGUAACGGGCGCGUAGACGGCCAUGCAAGCCAGGGGUGAAAGCCCGGGGCCCAACCCCGGGACUGCCCUUGGAACUGUGCGGCGAGAGUGCGGGAGGGGCAGGCGGAAUUCCUGGUGUAGCGGGGAAAUGCGUAGAUAUCAGGAGGAACACCGGCGGCGAAGGCGGCCUGCUGGACUGCGACUGACGUUGAGGCUCGAAAGCGUGGGGAGCGAACAGGAUUAGAUACCCGGGUAGUC
Molecule: ribosomal RNA, 441 nt
Filed under: uncultured bacterium
Lineage: Bacteria
Description: partial 16S ribosomal RNA
Rfam family: Bacterial small subunit ribosomal RNA
Source: RNAcentral